GAUGAUCAAGAGAGCCUGCCAAAGAGAACAAAAGAGGAACUUGGAAGAGUUGAACUCAAUCUACGACAGGAUCAGCUUUAGUCAACCUAGAGGACAGCAGACUUUGUAGAGUCAAGAGUUAGCAUCUGAUUUGUGCUUCACCAAUCUGAAGAAUCAGAAAGCAGCAGCUUUUGAUACCACAUCAGAGGCCAUGUCUAUUAACAGUACAGCUGAGAUGAGACAAGAAUGACUGACCUGAACUUUACAGGCCGGGGUAAGUGAGAAAACCCUUGCUAUCCUGAGGAAAAAUUCUCCCUUCCCAUGAUUCUGAGU
This 312-nucleotide long non-coding RNA is filed under the name Monodelphis domestica (gray short-tailed opossum). Its description in RNAcentral is "lncRNA (ENSMODG00000032691.2)". The record is from RNAcentral. Lineage: Eukaryota; Metazoa; Chordata; Mammalia; Didelphimorphia; Didelphidae.